RNAcentral lists this transfer RNA (74 nucleotides) under Camelus dromedarius (Arabian camel). It matches the Rfam family "tRNA". From Rfam's summary of the family: Transfer RNA (tRNA) molecules are approximately 80 nucleotides in length. Their secondary structure includes four short double-helical elements and three loops (D, anti-codon, and T loops). The record is from Rfam by way of RNAcentral. RNAcentral also lists the same sequence under 1 other name. Lineage: Eukaryota; Metazoa; Chordata; Mammalia; Artiodactyla; Camelidae.
GGAGGCGUGGCUCAAGUGGGUAGAGCACAUGCUUAGCACGCAUAAAGUCCUAGGUUCAAUCCCCAGUACCUCCU